GGCGAGGGGUCCCCGCAAUGGGGAGCCGCGAACCUGGUCAGGGGCGAAAGUCAGCAGCCAUAAGCGGUCAUCUUCAUGUGCGGCGGGCUCCUCGCCGGA
Molecule: signal recognition particle RNA, 99 nt
Filed under: Thermogutta sp.
Lineage: Bacteria; Pseudomonadati; Planctomycetota; Planctomycetia; Pirellulales; Thermoguttaceae
Description: signal recognition particle sRNA small type
Rfam family: Bacterial small signal recognition particle RNA
About the family: The signal recognition particle (SRP) is a universally conserved ribonucleoprotein involved in the co-translational targeting of proteins to membranes. Archaeal SRP consists of a 7S RNA and homologues of the eukaryotic SRP19 and SRP54 proteins.
Source: RNAcentral